CUUCAAUUUUAAAUUUAGGUGUUUUUUAAAAAUGCCUACUCGCUCUUUGAAGUUUGAGCCAAAACUUGCAUAAUACUAGGAAAUGGUCCGUAUCACAGUCAGCACUCCUGUAAUUUCUUACAUCUGUUAUAAUUAAUCUAUAUCGUUUUGCAAUCAAUAAAAUAUGGUCGAUUUGAUUCAUAUUCGGUCCAUUUGGAGACUUCC
Non-coding RNA from Cinara cedri, 204 nucleotides. The record is from the annotation of a GenBank genome assembly. Lineage: Eukaryota; Metazoa; Arthropoda; Insecta; Hemiptera; Aphididae.